ACAAAGUCUUUGAACAAAAGUAGUACCCUUCAGCAGGAACAUGACAGAGAGUCGGGCAGGUGAGAGCCGAUAUGGGACGAGAAGGGGAAUGGAUUUGGGAGAUGCAAGGUGAAAGUGACAGUAGCUGAUGCCGCGUCCUCGCGUUACAGGGGUAUGAUAUCGACUAUACAGUCCGUAUCAGAAUCAGAGUGAAUCAUAUUGCCGUUUGUGGCCGUGGAGAAUAAUUCCCCGGAAGGAGCGGCAGUAUCAUUAAUUAGGGUGGCACCGCGGAUAUUUCGUCCCUGAC
RNAcentral lists this non-coding RNA (286 nucleotides) under Eubacterium sp. RNAcentral describes it as "T-box sequence". It matches the Rfam family "T-box leader". From Rfam's summary of the family: Uncharged tRNA acts as the effector for transcription antitermination of genes in the T-box leader family. T-boxes are found upstream of many aminoacyl-tRNA synthetase genes and some amino acid biosynthetic genes usually in Gram-positive bacteria. Lineage: Bacteria; Bacillati; Bacillota; Clostridia; Eubacteriales; Eubacteriaceae. The record is from RNAcentral.